Non-coding RNA from Gossypium raimondii (Peruvian cotton), 145 nucleotides. NCBI's taxonomy places the organism in Eukaryota, Viridiplantae, Streptophyta, Magnoliopsida, Malvales, Malvaceae. The record is from Rfam.
UGUUAAAAGUUUCAUCCAUUCUUACUGUUGAAAAAUUGGCAUGGUUGAUAGAAUUGCCAAAAAAUUGCACAUGGAGUGCCACAAGUACCUAUUCUAGCGUACAUAAACUAAUUUUUAAUAGUAGAUAUAGUUGAAAUUUUUAGUA